This 76-nucleotide small RNA is filed under the name Flavobacterium aquicola. RNAcentral describes it as "Flavo-1 RNA". It matches the Rfam family "Flavo-1 RNA". The record is from RNAcentral. Lineage: Bacteria; Pseudomonadati; Bacteroidota; Flavobacteriia; Flavobacteriales; Flavobacteriaceae.
CCCUAGCCCUGAUGGAAGCGGCAUCCUUUCCUGCGGGGGUUCCGCAGGAAAGAUACAGCGGACAGCAGGAAUAAGC